AAGAAGAGAAAAAAAA
RNAcentral lists this small RNA (16 nucleotides) under Arabidopsis thaliana (thale cress). RNAcentral's name for it is "ATSL244230". Lineage: Eukaryota; Viridiplantae; Streptophyta; Magnoliopsida; Brassicales; Brassicaceae. The record is from RNAcentral.